UAUGUAGGGUGCAAGCGUUGUUCGGAAUUACUAGGUGUAAAGCGCCUGUAGGUGUCCCGAUAAGUUUCGUGUGAAAUCUUUCCGCUUAACGGAAAAACUGCACGAAAUACUGUCGGGAUUGAGUGCGAGAGAGGAAACUGGAAUUCCCGGUGUAGCAGUGAAAUGCGUAGAUAUCGGGAGGAACACCAAUGGCGAAGGCAGGUUUCUGGCUCGUUACUGACACUGAGAGACGAAAGCGUGGGGAG
RNAcentral lists this ribosomal RNA (245 nucleotides) under uncultured bacterium. RNAcentral's name for it is "partial 16S ribosomal RNA". It matches the Rfam family "Bacterial small subunit ribosomal RNA", at positions 524 to 768 of the family's 1533-position model. The record is from RNAcentral.